UGUAAGUGAAGUUAUCAUAAGUUCACAGAUUUCUUGUUGUAAACAAGAUAUACGCCGGGGUAUUCAAUGAAAUUUACAAUACUGCCGGCACAAGUUAAAAAAGACAAACAAGCAAUUUCUUAUCCAAAUGUUUGGUUGAUAUGUUUCACCCAACAAAAUUAAGGGAAGUGAGGGGUACCAAAUCAACCAAAGGCUAAGAAUGAGUCUGAAAUGACAACGAAUUUAUGAAUGACGGUCGACAAAUGGAGACAUAAAGGCCAC
Molecule: long non-coding RNA, 261 nt
Filed under: Mytilus galloprovincialis (Mediterranean mussel)
Lineage: Eukaryota; Metazoa; Mollusca; Bivalvia; Mytilida; Mytilidae
Source: RNAcentral